GCCUUUUUAACUCAGCGGUAGAGUAUUUGCAUGGUAAGCAAAAAGUCGCCGGUUCAAUUCCGGUUGAAGGCU
RNAcentral lists this transfer RNA (72 nucleotides) under Ostreobium quekettii. RNAcentral describes it as "tRNA-Thr". It matches the Rfam family "tRNA". From Rfam's summary of the family: Transfer RNA (tRNA) molecules are approximately 80 nucleotides in length. Their secondary structure includes four short double-helical elements and three loops (D, anti-codon, and T loops). RNAcentral also lists the same sequence under 1 other name. Lineage: Eukaryota; Viridiplantae; Chlorophyta; Ulvophyceae; Bryopsidales; Ostreobiaceae. The record is from RNAcentral.